CCCGCACAAGCGGAGGAACAUGUGGUUAAUUCGAUGAUACGCGAGGAACCUUACCUGGGCUUAAAUGGGGAGUGACAGCUGUCGAAAGAUGGUUUUCUUCGGACACUCUUCAAGGUGCUGCAUGGUUGUCGUCAGCUCGUGCCGUGAGGUGUCGGGUUAAGUCCCAUAACGAGCGCAACCCUUACCGUUAGUUACCAUCAGGUUAAGCUGGGGACUCUAGCGGGACUGCCACCGUAAGGUGAGAGGAAGUGGGGAUGACGUCAAAUCAGCACGGCCCUUAUGUCCAGGGCUACACACGUGUUACAAUGGCCGGUACAAAGGGCAGCUACUUCGCGAGAAGAUGCUAAAUCUCGAAAGCCGGUCUCAGUUCGGAUCGAAGUCUGCAACCCGACUUCGUGAAGCUGGAUUCGCUAGUAAUCGCGCAUCAGCCAUGGCGCGGUGAAUACGUUCCCGGGCCUU
This 459-nucleotide ribosomal RNA is filed under the name uncultured Sphingobacteriales bacterium. RNAcentral's name for it is "bacterial SSU rRNA". It matches the Rfam family "Bacterial small subunit ribosomal RNA", at positions 920 to 1382 of the family's 1533-position model. The record is from RNAcentral. Lineage: Bacteria; Pseudomonadati; Bacteroidota; Sphingobacteriia; Sphingobacteriales.